This 253-nucleotide ribosomal RNA is filed under the name uncultured bacterium. RNAcentral describes it as "partial 16S ribosomal RNA". It matches the Rfam family "Bacterial small subunit ribosomal RNA", at positions 524 to 776 of the family's 1533-position model. The record is from RNAcentral.
UACGGGGGGGGCAAGCGUUGUUCGGAAUUACUGGGCGUAAAGGGCUCGUAGGUGGCCAACUAAGUCGGACGUGAAAUCCCUCGGCUUAACCGGGGAACUGCUUCCGAUACUGGUUGGCUUGAGUUUGGGAGAGGGAUGCGGAAUUCCAGGUGUAGCGGUGAAAUGCGUAGAUAUCUGGAGGAACACCGGUGGCGAAGGCGGCAUCCUGGACCAACACUGACGCUGAGGAGCGAAAGCCAGGGGAGCAAACGGG